Molecule: ribosomal RNA, 463 nt
Filed under: uncultured bacterium
Lineage: Bacteria
Description: bacterial SSU rRNA
Rfam family: Bacterial small subunit ribosomal RNA
Source: RNAcentral
AUUGAACGCUGGCGGAAUGCUUUACACAUGCAAGUCGAACGGCAGCACGGGGGCAACCCUGGUGGCGAGUGGCGAACGGGUGAGUAAUACAUCGGAACGUGCCCAGUCGUGGGGGAUAACGCAGCGAAAGCUGUGCUAAUACCGCAUACGAUCUACGGAUGAAAGCGGGGACCGUAAGGCCUCGCGCGAUUGGAGCGGCCGAUGGCAGAUUAGGUAGUUGGUGGGGUAAAGGCNCACCAAGCCGACGAUCUGUAGCUGGUCUGAGAGGACGACCAGCCACACUGGGACUGAGACACGGCCCAGACUCCUACGGGAGGCAGCAGUGGGGAAUAUUGGACAAUGGGCGCAAGCCUGAUCCAGCCAUGCCGCGUGAGUGAUGAAGGCCCUAGGGUUGUAAAGCUCUUUCGGCGGGACGAUAAUGACGUACCCGCAGAAGAAGCCCCGGCUAACUUCGUGCCAGCAG